Molecule: ribosomal RNA, 489 nt
Filed under: uncultured Tropheryma sp.
Lineage: Bacteria; Bacillati; Actinomycetota; Actinomycetes; Micrococcales; Tropherymataceae
Description: bacterial SSU rRNA
Rfam family: Bacterial small subunit ribosomal RNA
Source: RNAcentral
UGGCGGCGUGCUUAACACAUGCAAGUCGAACGGAAAUCAGGGAGCUUGCUCCCUGUGAUUAGUGGCGAACGGGUGAGUAACACGUGAGCAACCUGCCCCUAACUUUGGGAUAACUUCGGGAAACCGGGGCUAAUACCAAAUACGACCCAUGAGGGCAUCCUCUGUGGGUGGAAAGAAUUUCGGUUGGGGAUGGGCUCGCGGCCUAUCAGCUUGUUGGUGGGGUAACGGCCUACCAAGGCAUCGACGGGUAGCCGGCCUGAGAGGGUGAUCGGCCACACUGGGACUGAGACACGGCCCAGACUCCUACGGGAGGCAGCAGUGGGGAAUAUUGCACAAUGGGCGCAAGCCUGAUGCAGCAACGCCGCGUGGGGGAAGAAGGCCUUCGGGUUGUAAACCUCUUUUGGCAGGGAAGAAGCGAAAGUGACGGUACCUGCAGAAAAAGCGCCGGCUAACUACGUGCCAGCAGCCGCGGUAAUACGUAGGGCGCGA